UUUGUAUUCCCUCUGUCCCAAAAUUCUUGUCUUACAUUUGUCUAAAUAUGGAUGUAUCAAGUCAUGUUUUAGUAUUAGAUACAUCUGUAUUUAGAUCAAUCGAAGACAAAAAAUUUGGGACGGGGGGUUAGAAA
Triticum aestivum (bread wheat) is the source of this 134-nucleotide non-coding RNA. The record is from Rfam. Lineage: Eukaryota; Viridiplantae; Streptophyta; Magnoliopsida; Poales; Poaceae.